GGACGAACGCUGGCGGCGUGGAUUAGGCAUGCAAGUCGAACGGUAUAAACCUUUCGGGGUUUAGAGAGUGGCGAACGGGUGAGUAACACGUAGGUAAUCUACCCUCAAAACGGGGACAACCCAGGGAAACUUGGGCUAAUACCGGAUGCGUGCAAGCAAUGUUUUGGCUGUUAACGCUAUUCACGGAUGUGAGUAGUGUUAAUGGUUGAGAGCAUUAUUUGCAUAAAAGGUGGCAUUUGCUGCCGUUUGAGGAUGAGCCUGCGUCCUAUUAGUUAGUUGGUGAGGUAAUGGCUUACCAAGGCGAUGAUAGGUAGGCGGCCUUAACGGGUGGUCGCCCACACUGGGAUUGAGAGACGGCCCAGACUCCUACGGGAGGCAGCAGUCGAGAAUAGUCUACAAUGGACGGAAGUCUGAUAGUGCGACGCCGCGUGAACGAAGAAUCCCUUCGGGGUGUAAAGUUCUUUUAUAUGUGAGCAGUGCCCUUUAUAUUAAUAGUAUAGAGGGAGGGAUUUAAGCGUAUGAAUAAGCAACGGCUAACUCCGUGCCAGCAGCCGCGGUAACACGGGGGUUGCAAGCGUUGUCCGGAAUUACUAGGCGUAAAGUGCAGGUAGGCGGAUAGAUAAGUUUAAGGUUAAAGGCUACGGCUUACCCGUAGUAAGGCGUUAGAUACUGUUUAUCUGGAAUGCGNNUGAGGGAGACAGAAUUNNUGGUGUAGCGGUGGAAUGCGCAGAGAUCAGGAGGAAUACCGAAGGCGAAGGCAGUCUUCUAAGCCGAUAUUGACGCUAAACUGCGAAGGUGUGGGGAUCAAACAGGAUUAGAUACCCUGGUAGUCCACACAGUAAACGAUAAUCACUAGGUGUUGGGUUCGUAUAGGACUCGGUGCCGGAGCUAACGCGAUAAGUGUCCCGCCUGGGGAGUACGAUCGCAAGGUUGAAACUCAAAGGAAUUGACGGGGGCCCGCACAAGCGGUGGAGCAUGUGGUUUAAUUCGACGCUACGCGAAGAACCUUACCUGGGCUUGAACUGCUGGUGGUAGAAGCCCGAAAGGGUAACGACCCGGAGCAAUCCGGGAGCCAGUAGAGGUGCUGCAUGGCUGUCGUCAGCUCGUGUCGUGAGAUGUUGGGUUAAGUCCCGCAACGAGCGCAACCCUUACCCUUAGUUGCCAGCGGGUAAUGCCGGGCACUCUAAGGGGACCGCCCCGGAUAACGGGGAGGAAGGCGGGGAUGACGUCAAGUCAGCAUGGCCUUUAUGUCCAGGGCUACACACGUGCUACAAUGGACGGUACAGAGGGAAGCAAGGCCGCAAGGUAGAGCUAAUCCCUAAAGCCGUCCUCAGUUCGGAUUGCAGGCUGCAACUCGCCUGCAUGAAGUCGGAAUCGCUAGUAAUCGCGGAUCAGCUACGCCGCGGUGAAUACGUUCUCGGGCCU
This 1425-nucleotide ribosomal RNA is filed under the name uncultured bacterium. Its description in RNAcentral is "bacterial SSU rRNA". It matches the Rfam family "Bacterial small subunit ribosomal RNA", at positions 27 to 1381 of the family's 1533-position model. The record is from RNAcentral.